Molecule: ribosomal RNA, 505 nt
Filed under: uncultured bacterium
Lineage: Bacteria
Description: bacterial SSU rRNA
Rfam family: Bacterial small subunit ribosomal RNA
Source: RNAcentral
CUGGCUCAGGACGAACGCUGGCGGCGUGCUUAACACAUGCAAGUCGAACGGGGAUAUUAUUGGAAGGUUUCGGCCUGGAAGGUGAUAUUCGAGUGGCGGACGGGUGAGUAACGCGUGAGCAAUCUGUCCCAGACAGGGGGGUAACACUUGGAAACAGGUGCUAAUACCGCAUAAGACCACGGCAUCACAUGGUGCAGGGGUAAAAGGAGGAAUCCGGUUUGGGGUGAGCUCGCGUCCGAUUAGCCAGUUGGCGGGGUAACGGCCCACCAAAGCGACGAUCGGUAGCCGAUCUGAGAGGAUGACCGGCCACAUUGGAACUGAGAGACGGUCCAAACUCCUACGGGAGGCAGCAGUGGGGAAUAUUGGGCAAUGGGCGAAAGCCUGAACCCCCAGCAACGCCGCGUGAGUGAAGAAGGCUUUCGGGUUGUAAAGCUCUGUUAUAGGUGACGAAGGAAGUGACGGUAGCCUAUAAGGAAGCCCCGGCUAACUACGUGCCAGCCGCUGC